RNAcentral lists this long non-coding RNA (211 nucleotides) under Drosophila guanche. Lineage: Eukaryota; Metazoa; Arthropoda; Insecta; Diptera; Drosophilidae. The record is from RNAcentral.
CAAAACUCAACUGGGUCCACUUGGUGUAGAUCUUUAAGCCUUAGCAGAGGAAUGUGAUCAAAUUCUAAUAUUUGCAUAAACCCAUUCAUCUGAAAGGGUAUUCCGGACCCGAAGCUAUCCAUUCCUUCGCAUUCUUUUUAUGUCACUUUCCUUUUGCACAACAAAAUAAAAUUAAAUAGAAAUUGUAAAUUUAAAACUGCGUGGCGGCGAC